AGAGUUUGAUCCUGGCUCAGGAUGAACGCUAGCGACAGGCCUAACACAUGCAAGUCGAGGGGUAGCAGUGUAGCAAUACAGCUGACGACCGGCGCACGGGUGAGUAACGCGUAUGCAACCUACCUAUUACAGGGGAAUAACCCGGAGAAAUCCGGCCUAAUACCGCAUAAUACUUUCGGAUGGCAUCAUUUGGAAGUUAAAGAUUUAUUGGUAAUAGAUGGGCAUGCGUUCCAUUAGUUAGUUGGUGAGGUAACGGCUCACCAAGACGUCGAUGGAUAGGGGUUCUGAGAGGAAGGUCCCCCACACUGGUACUGAGACACGGACCAGACUCCUACGGGAGGCAGCAGUGAGGAAUAUUGGUCAAUGGGCGAGAGCCUGAACCAGCCAAGUCGCGUGCAGGAUGACUGCCUUAUGGGUUGUAAACUGCUUUUAUACAGGAAUAACAACAGCUACGUGUAGCUGGAUGAAUGUACUGUAAGAAUAAGGAUCGGCUAACUCCGUGCCAGCAGCCGCGGUAAUACGGAGGAUCCGAGCGUUAUCCGGAUUUAUUGGGUUUAAAGGGUGCGUAGGCGGUCUAUUAAGUCAGUGGUGAAAGUUUGGAGCUUAACUCUAAAAUUGCCAUUGAAACUGGGAGACUUGAAUACGGUAGAGGUAAGCGGAAUGCGUGGUGUAGCGGUGAAAUGCAUAGAUAUCACGCAGAAACCCCGAUUGCGAAGGCAGCUUACUGGACCCGUUAUUGACGCUGAGGCACGAAAGCGUGGGGGAUCAAACAGGAUUAGAUACCCUGGGUAGUCCACGCCGUAAAACUAUGAUUGCUAAGCUAUUUGGCGAUACACCAGGUCAGUGGGCACAGAGAAAAUCGUUAAAGCAUUCCACCUGGGGAGGUACGCCCGGCAACGGGUGAAACCUCAAAGGAAUUUGACGGGGGCCCCGCACGAGCGGAAGGAACAUGUGGUUUAAAUCGAUGAUACGCGAAGGAACCUUUACCCGGGUUUUGAACCGCAGGGGAAAUAACGGGUUGAAGA
RNAcentral lists this ribosomal RNA (1025 nucleotides) under uncultured bacterium. RNAcentral describes it as "bacterial SSU rRNA". It matches the Rfam family "Bacterial small subunit ribosomal RNA", at positions 8 to 1007 of the family's 1533-position model. The record is from RNAcentral.